RNAcentral lists this long non-coding RNA (1067 nucleotides) under Numida meleagris (helmeted guineafowl). RNAcentral's name for it is "lncRNA (ENSNMEG00000002009.1)". The record is from RNAcentral. Lineage: Eukaryota; Metazoa; Chordata; Aves; Galliformes; Numididae.
CAGAAGUGAAAUUCCAAAUCUCGCUUGAGGAAGAAGGUUAAGCAGAGAUCUCAUCUAUUCUCUGAAAAGUAUAGUUGGAUUAUAUAAGUAUAUAUGGGACCAAGUAUGUGAUGGUGAUUAUUGUCAGCUGAUAUUCUUGAAGAGGCAGAAGACGUGCAUAUUUCAGAGUGCUGAGGUCUGCUUUCUACCUGGAGCUCCAUGGAGGCUGCAAACUGAUGGAUCUCUCUAAAGGUCUCCAGCAUGUUUUAUUCUGCUUGCUGAGAAGUAGCAGCAAUUGGCAGAUGCUGCUGCUAGGCUAAGCAAAAAAUGCUUACACCUUUGUACUCAAAAGUGAAACUGAUAACUGUCCCUUGUUUUGUCUGUCUGAAGAACAUGAAGUCCUUCUGAUGGACACUCCGAAAAGGAUUCUCAGAAUGUGUCACAGAUGCUUUGAAUUGAGGUUGGGGAUAAACAGCAGCAUCCUCUAUUUUGGACGUUGUCCUCAGUCUGAACUGAGGGGAAGCUGCCAACCCGCUUCUGUCACCAUGCUUCUCAAGAUUUGUUUUGAUGAAAACAAGGGAGUCAAGUUCAUUGCAAUAUUUCAUUGCUUGUGGUGUUUCACUGGAUGUGCCAACUGAAAUACAGAAUCUCAAGCUGGGAAGGACCAAUAGGCUCACAGGGCAAUGACAGAACUGAGCCAAGCUGAGCUGAAAAUAAUUCCCUGGAUUUUUCAACCCUGUGAAGAAGAAGGAUUAGAAAUAUGAUGCCCUGCCGAAUUCAGUUACAAAGAGAUUAGAAGGAAGACAUCCUGCUGAACUCUCUUACAAAGAGGUUGUGACAGUAGCAACCGGGAAGAAGAGCUUUAAACAAAAUGCUAAAAUAAUGAAGCUCCUACCCUUCACUGUACAGUGUGAGGCAGAUACCUGACCUGGCUCUGAGCAAGCGCUACUGUGCUUCCACUGCAUAUAGCAAUACAGGAAUGUUCCUGGUGGGCAUUGACCCAAGCAGAGCCAGUAUUUACAUGGCUGUACUGCAUCUGCUUUCACCUCCAAAUUGGUUUUCUCCCUCCACCACAGCAUUAAAUUGCG